Long non-coding RNA from Hyla sarda, 4234 nucleotides. RefSeq lists it as uncharacterized. Lineage: Eukaryota; Metazoa; Chordata; Amphibia; Anura; Hylidae. The record is from RefSeq and is a predicted model, not a curated record. The transcript has 4 exons.
UACAGCGCUAUCACCAUCUCUUAUCAUAGGACUAGAAUGGGCUCCUUCAUACAAGGGCAUCAGACAACCCAAUAACACUCACCUAGGGGCCACUAACCUGCCACCUGGAUAACAAGGUCAUGGCCAAUAUCAUAGUGGACAAUGAAGUUCCCUAGAGAGAGGAGUAAUGCAUUGUUUCUUACCAAUAGAAAAAGAAUGGGAGCAAUGAGGAUGUGGCCCCUAGCAGCCAUCUUGCCUGCCACUAAGUGAAUGGGAGAUAAGAUGGAAACACGUCGGCAUAGCACUUCUUAACAGAUCUAUAUCCACGUAUGUUCCCUGGUUCUUCAUACAGCCGACAAAUGAUCUCUUCACAGGAAGCCACUGUGUUUCCAAGGCAUCUGAAACAGAACGAGAGCUUGUAAACACUCUACAACUGCACAUAAUAACUCAUAUACGUUAUAGAUGUCCAAGCUAAAAUCUCUUCUAAAUAAUGAAACGUUCUUGUAAGUGUUUACAUUUCCUGAAUGACGGCUGAUUUUGCAGAGUGAUAAGCCAGAAGCUGACAUUUAGGAUUACAUGGCAGCCAUUCUGAAGAAAAGACGUCCAUGUAAUGUGUGAGCUGAGUUGACCAGACCAUAGCCACGUCUUGUUAGUGGAUCUUCUCUCUUGCCUAUAUAGGGCGAUCUGUAUGUCAGGGACACACCUUUCGUGGCCUAAUAGCAUUGUGAAUUGGGAAACAAAAUCUGUUGUUGAUCGCUCUUUUUGGACUUUAUUGCUCAAUGUGACCUCAUUCAAGCUAAGAGACUUUUACUUUGCACAUGUUUCCUGGCUUGAAAAGUGCAAAGGUGACACCUUUUGGUUCACUGAAAAAUAUUAUUCUCCUGUUUGAAGAGAUCAACAACAUAACAAAAAUGGGGCCCUAUGCCCUCCAAAAUGAAAAUGACAAUAAACACAAAACAUGCAUAGCUUUCUUUUCUAUCCUGGUCUCCAAUAAAUUUGUCUCUUCCUAAAAAGAAACUCACAGCUAUUUCACCGGCACUAAACUCAAUAUACUGCGUUAUACUAAGGGUAAAAAGCUGUAAAAAGAAGGGUUAAUUACAUAUAUAGGCACCAUAUUUGACUAGUGGCCAUUUCUAAAUCCGCUGGCAUUGUGCACCUCUGCUAAAUGGAGGCAGAGAGCUGACGCAGCUCCCCUGCCUCAUCAAUAUUCCGAAAUUCACUACCCAACCCGCCCCCUUUUCAUGAUGUGAGAGCCUGAAGGGGGGGGGGGAGAGGAGUGGAGGUCUGGUGUAUCAAAGAGCAAAGCACUCACCCCCCCCCCCCCCACCCCACGAGGCUCUCAUGUCUCGGAAGGGGGUGGGCUAGGGAGUGAAUAUUGAUGAGGCAGGGAGCUGGGCGGGCUGGCUCCCCACCUCCAUUGUGCAGAUCUGCUCAAUGCCAGCAGAUUUAGAAAUGGGUACAAGUCAGGAAAUACGGCACAUAUACAUUAAUAAGGUCACAGCACUCACCAUAUAUAUUUAGGAACAAGAAGCUGAGACAGCAGAGGAAGGCUACUGCCGAAAUGCUUCAUGUUUGAUUUUCCUAAAUAUACUUGGUGAGUGCUGGGACUUUAUUUACACUAUUUCUGGACCUGAUCCACUACGUGCACCACUGCCAAUGGAAGUGCAGACCAACUUAUAUAAUAAUAUUAAAACACAGUGAUGUCGCAGUUUCUGCAUAUUGCAUGCAGUGAUGCAACAUUCUGAUGUGACAUCAUAAAUAUAAUGCACACAGUGAUGUCAGAUUUUAUGUACACACAAUAAAAACUAUAGCUCAUAAACCAUAAAACAGUGAAGUCACCAUAGCGGCAUAAUUGAUAUUGUGAUGUCACAUACAAGAUCAUUUACAGAGUGAAGUGGUAGUGCACAGUGAAGUCACAAUACAGGCAUAAUACAUUAUAUGAAUUAUACACAGUGAUUUCUCAGCAUAAUUUCCUUUGUUUUGGUCUCCUACUGAUGCGUAUUCUAUUUUUCUUGCUUCUCCCACAUUAGCAUACACUUUAAACGGUAACUUUAUUGUGGUCCCUGCUUUUAUUUAUGUUCCAUAUACUGAAUAAUAAUUAAUAUUUGUGUCACUAAUAUUAUGACAUUUAUUCUGUGGUAAGGCCAAUUUUUUAAGAAGCCUUCUACAGAAGAGAAAAACGCUUUGCAGCCAUAUGCCGCUGUUACGCUUAGUAUUUCGGUUAGUAUUUGUGGCCAAAACCAGGAGUGGGGCCAAAACACAGAAAAAGGUGCACAUCUUUAUUAUUAUUAUUAUUAUUAAUAAUAAUUAUAAGAAAAAGAACAACAACAAUAAUGACAAUUCUGUAUUAUUUCCUAAAUAAAAAUAUCUAUAAUAAAUCUUAAAUCAUUAUAGUUUUUCUCUGUGUCACUUCCACUUCUGGUUUUCUCUACAACUACUAAUGAAAAAUACUGACCAAUAUACACUGCUCAAAAAAAUAAAGGGAACACGAAGAUAACCCAUCCUAGAUCUGGAUGAACUAAUCGCAUGAAAUACUUUGAUCUUUACAUAGUUGAAUGAGCUGACAACAAAAUCACACAAAAAAUAUCAAUGGAAAUCAAAUUUAUUAACCCAUAGAGGUCUGGAUAUGGAGUCACACUCAAAAUCAAAGUGGAAAACCACACUACAGGCUGAUCCAACUUUGAUGUAAUGUCCUUAAAACAAGUCAAAAUGAGGCUCAGUAGUGUGUGUGGCCUCCACGUGCCCGUAUGACCUCCCUACAAUACCUGGGCAUGCUCCUGAUGAGGUGUUGGAUGGACUCCUAAGGGAUAUCCUCCCAGACCUGGACUAAAGCAUCUGCCAACUCCUGGACAGUCUGUGAUGCAACGUGGCGUUGGUGGAUGGAGCGAGACAUGAUGUCCCAGAUUUGCUCAAUCGGAUUUAGGUCUGGGGAAUGGGCGGGCCAGUCCAUAGCAUUAAUGCCUUCCUCUUGCAGGAACUUCUGACACCAGCCACAUGAGGUCUAGCAUUGUCUUGUAUUAGGAGUAACCCAGGGCCAACCGAACAAGCAUAUGGUCUCACAAGGGGUCUGAGGAUCUCAUCUUGGUACCUAAUGGCAGUCAGGCGAACUCUGGCAAGCAUAUGGAGGGCUGUGCGGCCCCCCAAAGAAAUGCCACACACACCAUUACUGACCCCCCACCAAACCGGUCAUGCUGGAGGAUGUUGCAGGCAGCAGAACAUUCUCCACAGCGUCUCCAGACAUCUAUCACAUGUGCUCAGUGUGAACCUGCUUUCAUCUGUGAAGAGCACAGGGUGCCAGUGGCGAAUUUGCCAAUCUUGGUGUUCUCUGGCAAAUGCCAAACAUCCUGCAUGGUGUUGGGCUGUAAGCACAACCCCCACCUGUGGAUGUCAGGCCCUCAUACCACCCUCAUGGAGUCUGUUUCUGACCGUUUGAGUGGACACAUGCACAUUUGUGGCCUGCUGGAGGUCAUUUUGCAGGGCUCUGGCAGUGCUCCUCCUUGCACAAAGGCGGAGGUAGUGGUCCUGCUGCUGGGUUGUUUCCCUCCUAUGGCCCCCUCCAUGUCUCCUGAUUUCCUGGCCUGUCCCUGGUAGCGCCUCCAUGCUCUGGACACUACACUGACAGACACAGCAAACCUUCUUGCCACAGCUCGCAUUAAUGUGCCAUCCUGGAUGAGCUGCACUACCUGAGCCACUUGUGUGGGUUAUAGACUCUGUCUCAUGCUACCACUAGAGUGAAAGCACCGCCAGCAUUCCAAAGUGACCAAAACAUCAGCCAGGAAGCAUAGGAGCUGAGAAGUGGUCUGUGGUCACCACAGGCACCUUCACUCCUUUAUUGGCUUUAUCUUGCUAAUUGCCCAUCAUUUACACUUGUUGUCUGUUCCAUUUGCACAACAGCUGUGAAAUUGAUUGUCAAUCAGUGUUGCUUCCUGAGUGGACAGUGUGAUUUCACAGAAGUGUGAUUGACUUGGGGUUACAUAGUUUUUUUUUUAAGGGUUCCCUUUAUUUUUUUGAGCAGUGUAUAAUGUGAAAAAGAAGCCUACGGGUAGGGUCGCACACAGUGCAUCCGCAGUGUAUUUCAUGCUGCAGAUGCACCGACAGCUGGCAGUCACAGAGAGACUGCAGAGCGAGCUCCAAGCUGCGGCUCGGCCUGUGACUGCCGGCAGCGGGCGCAUACGCAGCGUGAAAUACACUGCGGGUGAGCUGUGUGAGACCCUACCAUUAUACUUUAAAUACUAUUUAGGAGAAUAAUGUCAAC